UAACGCGUGGGUAACCUGCCUUAUACAGGGGGAUAACAGUCAGAAAUGGCUGCUAAUACCGCAUAAGCGCACAGAGCUGCAUGGCUCAGUGUGAAAAACUCCGGUGGUAUAAGAUGGACCCGCGUUGGAUUAGCUAGUUGGUGGGGUAACGGCCCACCAAGGCGACGAUCCAUAGCCGGCCUGAGAGGGUGAACGGCCACAUUGGGACUGAGACACGGCCCAGACUCCUACGGGAGGCAGCAGUGGGGAAUAUUGCACAAUGGGGGAAACCCUGAUGCAGCGACGCCGCGUGAAGGAAGAAGUAUCUCGGUAUGUAAACUUCUAUCAGCAGGGAAGAUAGUGACGGUACCUGACUAAGAAGCCCCGGCUAACUACGGUGCCAGC
This 384-nucleotide ribosomal RNA is filed under the name Blautia wexlerae. RNAcentral describes it as "bacterial SSU rRNA". It matches the Rfam family "Bacterial small subunit ribosomal RNA", at positions 111 to 512 of the family's 1533-position model. Lineage: Bacteria; Bacillati; Bacillota; Clostridia; Lachnospirales; Lachnospiraceae. The record is from RNAcentral.